This 434-nucleotide ribosomal RNA is filed under the name uncultured bacterium. RNAcentral's name for it is "partial 16S ribosomal RNA". It matches the Rfam family "Bacterial small subunit ribosomal RNA", at positions 29 to 507 of the family's 1533-position model. The record is from RNAcentral.
AGCGAACGCUGGCGGCAGGCCUAACACAUGCAAGUCGAACGAACCUUUCGGGGUUAGUGGCGGACGGGUGAGUAACACGUGGGAACGUGCCUUUAGGUUCGGAAUAACUCAGGGAAACUUGUGCUAAUACCGAAUGUGCCCUUCGGGGGAAAGAUUAAUCGCCUUUAGAGCGGCCCGCGCCUGAUUAGCUAGUUGGUUGAGGUAAUGGCCCACCAAGGCGACGAUCAGUAGCUGGUCUGAGAGGAUGAUCAGCCACAUUGGGACUGAGACACGGCCCAAACUCCUACGGGAGGCAGCAGUGGGGAAUCUUGCGCAAUGGGCGAAAGCCUGACGCAGCCAUGCCGCGUGAAUGAUGAAGGUCUUAGGAUUGUAAAAUUCUUUCACCGGGGACGAUAAUGACGGUACCCGGAGAAGAAGCCCCGGCUAACUUCGUG